CGGGGCGUGGCUCAGCUUGGCUAGAGUGUCCGCCUUGGGAGCGGAAGGUCGCUGGUUCGAAUCCAGUCGCCCCGACCA
Molecule: transfer RNA, 78 nt
Filed under: Candidatus Scalindua japonica
Lineage: Bacteria; Pseudomonadati; Planctomycetota; Candidatus Brocadiia; Candidatus Brocadiales; Candidatus Scalinduaceae
Description: tRNA-Pro
Rfam family: tRNA
About the family: Transfer RNA (tRNA) molecules are approximately 80 nucleotides in length. Their secondary structure includes four short double-helical elements and three loops (D, anti-codon, and T loops).
Source: RNAcentral